AAGUCACCCAGUUCCUGGGCUGUGCCUCAGGCAUGAGGGAGCCCCUUAAAGCCAGACAGGACAACUGGUCUCCAGGUAGGAGCGCUUCCCUAUAAAAUGGGUUUGCUUUCUCAGAGUGAUGUUCUUCCAAGACUCAGUGAAAGUGGCCCUUGGAAAAACAGCCUUGGAGCAAGACGUGCUUCCACAGCAGACCUCCUGGGGGAAAUCAUGUCAUUCUGGCUGCAGAGGAAAAACACAAAUACCCGGGCACUGAGUCCCGUGAGUGUACAAUAUAAGGCUUGCACCUGAGCUCACUUCCAAUAGGAGGACAGUGGGGUUGCAGCACCGGGGCCCGUAUCGCGGAAUCCACACAGGACAGAAUGCUGGCAGCAGGCGAGACAUGCUGUGACAUGCUGGCACCAGCCCUGGGAAAGAGAAUAACUCAGGGCUGGGUAGCUUCACUUCCAAAGACACCCAUUCUCUGUGUUUGCUUCCAAAGCAUUAAACGGUGACCUAACCCA
Molecule: long non-coding RNA, 500 nt
Organism: Cavia porcellus (domestic guinea pig)
Lineage: Eukaryota; Metazoa; Chordata; Mammalia; Rodentia; Caviidae
Exons: 2
Source: RefSeq, a predicted model, not a curated record